GUAGGCGGUAUUUAUUGUUAUUGAUAAAAAAUUUAAAGUUAUAUUUAAAAGUGUCAAUAAAACAUUUUUACUAGAGUUUUGUAGAGAAUAACAGAGCUUCCACAUAGGGUUAAAAUCCGAUUAUUUAGGAAGAAAUGCUUUUGGUGAAAACGGUUAUUUAGGCAACAACUGACGUUGAGGAACAAAGGCAUAGGGAGCAAACGGGAUUUGAUACCCCGGUAGUCUAUGCUGUGACAUAUGUAUACUAUUG
RNAcentral lists this ribosomal RNA (250 nucleotides) under Mesodinium pulex. Its description in RNAcentral is "partial Bacterial small subunit ribosomal RNA". It matches the Rfam family "Bacterial small subunit ribosomal RNA", at positions 571 to 821 of the family's 1533-position model. The record is from RNAcentral. Lineage: Eukaryota; Ciliophora; Litostomatea; Cyclotrichida; Mesodiniidae.